This 253-nucleotide ribosomal RNA is filed under the name uncultured bacterium. Its description in RNAcentral is "partial 16S ribosomal RNA". It matches the Rfam family "Bacterial small subunit ribosomal RNA", at positions 524 to 776 of the family's 1533-position model. The record is from RNAcentral.
UACGUAGGGUGCGAGCGUUAAUCGGAAUUACUGGGCGUAAAGCGAGCGCAGGCGGUUUUGUAAGUCAGAUGUGAAAGCCCCGGGCUCAACCUGGGAACUGCGUUUGAAACUGCAAGGCUAGAGUAUGGGAGAGGGGGGUAGAAUUCCACGUGUAGCAGUGAAAUGCGUAGAGAUGUGGAGGAAUACCAAUGGCGAAGGCAGCCCCCUGGCCUAAUACUGACGCUCAUGCUCGAAAGCGUGGGGAGCAAACAGG